RNAcentral lists this ribosomal RNA (853 nucleotides) under uncultured soil bacterium. RNAcentral's name for it is "bacterial SSU rRNA". It matches the Rfam family "Bacterial small subunit ribosomal RNA", at positions 646 to 1501 of the family's 1533-position model. The record is from RNAcentral.
GUAUUAGAUUGGGAAGUGGAAUGCGCGGUGUAGCGGUGAAAUGUGUAGAUAUCGGGAGGGACACAUCAGGCGAAGGUAGUCUUCUUGGAUCAUAAAGGAUGCUGACGUGAGAGUGAGAGGGGAGCCAGCAGGAUGAGAUAGCCGCGUAGGUUUAGCCCUAAAUGAUGAGCAUUGGGCGUUGCCCUUCGAAGUGCAGUGCCGUAGCUAAUGCAUUAACUGCUCAGCCUGGGGAGUACGGUCGCGAUGGUGCAACUCGAAGGAAUUGACGGGGGCCCGCACAAGCGGUGGAGCAUGUGGUUUCAUUAGACGCAACGCGAAGAACCUCACUAGGACUUGAAAUUUUGUUGACAGUGUAAGAGAUGAGAUCUUCUCGCAACGGACAGCAGAAUAGGUGCUGCACGGCCGUCCUCAUUUCGUGUCGUGAGAUGGUGGGUUAAGUCAAGCAACGAGCGCAACCCUCACCCUUAGUUGCUCACCCGCAAGGGAAGCACCAUAAUAGAACCGCCUUGGAUAACGGGGAGGAAGGUGGGGAGGAUGUCAAGUCCUGAGGGCCUGUACCCCCUGGGCAACACACCUGAUACAAUGGCCGGUGCAAAGUGUCGCCAACCCGCGAGGGGGAGCCAAUAGCAAAAAACCGGUGUCAGUUCGGAUUGCAGUUUGCAACUCGAGUGCAUGAAGCCGGAAUCGUUAGUAAUCGCGUAUCAGAUUGACGCGGUGAAUACGUUCCCGGGCCUUGUACACACCGCCCGUCACAUCACGAAAGUGGUUUGUACUAGAAGUCGUCAUUCGAACCGCAAGGGCGAGAGCGCCCAAGCACGAACCCAGAUUGGGGUGAAGUCCUAACAAGGUAACC